RNAcentral lists this long non-coding RNA (1565 nucleotides) under Pan troglodytes (chimpanzee). RNAcentral's name for it is "long non-coding RNA NONPTRT001618". Lineage: Eukaryota; Metazoa; Chordata; Mammalia; Primates; Hominidae. The record is from RNAcentral.
ACAUUCAGAUGAACUGAAUUUUGAUACAUUGGGUAAAUGCUUCAAUUUAAGUUGGAAUUAGGAUGGAUAAGCAUGGCUGAGGUUGGGUUGCUAUUUUCUAUCAUUUGAAAAGUUUACUAUAAAGUAAAGGGGAUACUACUUUCAGAUGUAUUUCUAUUAAAUAAAGCAUAAAAUUAUUGUACUUGAACAUAAAUAGAUUUUUCAUAUGUUCCAUUCCAUUAGAAUUGGAGGAAGACUUACCAUGUUGGGUACAGUUAGUCAAUAAUCAGUGAACUAUCUUAAUUUUAUUUUCAUCUUUGUAAACAAAACUAUUACACAUUAAAUGUGGAUAUACAUUACAAACGAAAGAUAGAAAACAGAAUCUAACAAUUUAUGAAAAAAAAUGCACUACAACCAAAAAGGAUUUAACCCAGGAAUGGAAGUAAUCUCCAAUAUUGGAAAGCUUACAGGAACUUAAUAUUAACAGAUGACAGUAGAAACACAAUAUGAUAUUAUCCAUAUUGUAGAAAAGCAUUACACUUCAAUGUACCUUCUUGAUUUGAAAGGAAAAAAGCAAAGCAACCUAGAAAUAAAUGAGAAUAUCUUUAACCUAAUAAAGCACACAUUCUGGAAACCUAUAACAAACUACUGACUUUUUUUUAUCAGUUUGAGCUUGCUUGAUGGAUGUUAUCCCUUCCUCUGUAUCUCUGAAGAUUAAAAAAAACCACUUAUUUUAAAGCUCUUUUAAGAUGUGGAUAUUAUCUCUAGUUCCUUACAUUUGAGUUCCUUUUUUCCUUGGAUCUGUCCACUUAUAUUCUUGAUGCUAGACAAAAUGAAUCUGAUAAGAUUGAAUAAAAUGAAUCUGAGCCCUAUUUACUGUAAAGAUGCAGAUUUCUGGUUUUGAAGUGGUUAUGGGCACCAUUCUAUUCAUGGCCAGUGGCAAGACCUUUGAUCUAGGAAGCUCAAUUGGAAAUAUUCUGGAAUUUCUGUUUGUAAAAAACAAACAAGCAAAAAACAACAGCAAAAAAAAUACGCAAAACAGAAAACAAAAAACAGUGGGUUGCUAGAUUCGGGACUUACAGAGUUUAAUUCCUGUUCUUUCUCCCAUGUUGAACCUAUGGCUUUUGUUCAAAAACCUUCAGCCCUAGGGUCUUAACCCCACUGUGGGUCACAAAAGUUGAGCUGUUCCUAUUUAUGGACUUGACUUUUUUUUUUUUCUAAAUUUCUGACUUCUGGAAAUUUCUUUUCUUGCUUUCAAAUGAAACUGUUUGUUUUAAAGAUGUAUGUAUCCAUAUAUUCAUUUGCUCAUAUUAAUAUAAAUUUAUAAAUCUUUAUUGUAUAUUUCCAAGUGUUUGGAAUGGGGGAAGGGUUUCCAUAGGUGCUUGGCUUUCCACUUUGUCUAGGAACUGAUGACAUGACUUUUUCAUGUUACACAUCUUGUUUGAGGAAGAACUCAAAUUAGAAUCCUGUUCCCUUAACUCAACUUUUAUUAUAAUCAGUUGCCUUGUGGCUUGGAAAGACUUAAUGGUCGCAGUUUGGGACUGAGCUGUAGGUUUUUAGUUAUCCCUUGAGAACUUUUAGAUGAA